CUACGGGGGGCAGCAGUGGGGAAUAUUGGACAAUGGGGGAAACCCUGAUCCAGCAAUGCCGCGUGUGUGAAGAAGGCCUGCGGGUUGUAAAGCACUUUCGGUUGGGAGGACUGCUUCUAGCACUAAUAUUGUUGGAAGUUGACGUUACCUUCAGAAGAAGCACCGGCUAACUCCGUGCCAGCAGCCGCGGUAAUACGGAGGGUGCAAGCGUUAAUCGGAAUUACUGGGCGUAAAGCGCGCGUAGGCGGCUAGAUCAGUCGGGUGUGAAAGCCCCGGGCUUAACCUGGGAACUGCAUCCGAUACUGUCUAGCUUGAGUACAGGAGAGGAGAGGGGAAUUCCACAUGUAGCGGUGACAUGCGUAGAUAUGUGGAGGAACACCAAUGGCGAAGGCAGCUCUCUGGCCUGAUACUGACGCUGAGGUGCGAAAGCGUGGGGAUCAAACAGGAUUAGAUACCCCAGUAGUC
Molecule: ribosomal RNA, 465 nt
Filed under: uncultured bacterium
Lineage: Bacteria
Description: partial 16S ribosomal RNA
Rfam family: Bacterial small subunit ribosomal RNA
Source: RNAcentral